UAUGAUGUCAAAGAACCCUUUACAAAUUAUUGCACAAAACAAACUAACAUGGGAAUGUCUCAUUUUUUUUAUGGAUGAAGAACCUGGACAAAGCCCCAGCUAAUGUCCUGCCUAUGGCAACUAAGCAAAUUGACAACAGAGCCAGGAGAACAUAGAGGACAAGUUGAACAACGUUGUGUAGAAAGGAAAAGAAAAAAGCAUGCUUCACUGAAGUAAUUGUCAAGCUAAAAAUUGGAGCCUGCAGACAUUCCAAGGUAAUUUAGCUGAUGGUCUAGAAGUACCUUUGAGAUAGAACAAAAGGUUUUUAAGGGGGAG
This 315-nucleotide long non-coding RNA is filed under the name Vulpes vulpes (red fox). Its description in RNAcentral is "lncRNA (ENSVVUG00000019011.1)". The record is from RNAcentral. Lineage: Eukaryota; Metazoa; Chordata; Mammalia; Carnivora; Canidae.